GCUCGGGUGACGCAGCGGUAGCGUGCGAGACUGCAAAUCUUGAAGUCACUGGUUCGAAUCCGGUCUCGAGCU
Molecule: transfer RNA, 72 nt
Filed under: Ophiocordyceps sinensis
Lineage: Eukaryota; Fungi; Ascomycota; Sordariomycetes; Hypocreales; Ophiocordycipitaceae
Also listed under: 1 other name
Rfam family: tRNA
About the family: Transfer RNA (tRNA) molecules are approximately 80 nucleotides in length. Their secondary structure includes four short double-helical elements and three loops (D, anti-codon, and T loops). Further hydrogen bonds mediate the characteristic L-shaped molecular structure. tRNAs have two regions of fundamental functional importance: the anti-codon, which is responsible for specific mRNA codon recognition, and the 3' end, to which the tRNAs corresponding amino acid is attached (by aminoacyl-tRNA synthetases). tRNAs cope with the degeneracy of the genetic code in two manners: having more than one tRNA (with a specific anti-codon) for a particular amino acid; and 'wobble' base-pairing, i.e. permitting non-standard base-pairing at the 3rd anti-codon position.
Source: Rfam by way of RNAcentral